Molecule: long non-coding RNA, 1539 nt
Organism: Tachysurus fulvidraco (yellow catfish)
Lineage: Eukaryota; Metazoa; Chordata; Actinopteri; Siluriformes; Bagridae
Exons: 2
Source: RefSeq, a predicted model, not a curated record
GAAUGACACAAUGGAUGUUUUAUUGUCAAGACUGUGUAUGAAAAUCCCAGAUGUUUCUGAAAGUUUCUCAUGACAUAUGUGAACAUUAACUUACUAAGUUCCAGUCCUGUCUUUGCAGGAAUUGAUGCAUAGCACUGCUACCACAUGACAUAAGAGUGAGAACGGGGGACAGAUGUUCGCAUAAAAGUGCCCAGUGAAGAGAGGAUAAGCUGAUGCUGAUCUCGGGGUGGUGUACAGGGCUUUGAACUCCUGUGGAGGAGACAGAAGGUCACAGUCCGUCUCUGCAGAUAAGAUUCUCCACCAGCAGCAGUUUCCAAACAGGACAAACUCAUGCAAUGAUCUCCUGAUGGACCCUGACACCUUAAAGCAAACAUAGCUGCAAAAAACACCACUGUUAUCACAGAUCAUAGCACAUUUUAACUGAACAACAGAGUGCAAAUGCAUAUAGCACCAUGACUGUGUGUAUUGAUUGAUCAUGGUGAAUAAAAUGAGCAAAUAAAAUCAUUUUAAAAAUAUAAAACUAUUAAAGAUUACCUAUAUUAUUCAAUAGUGUGGAGUUUGCAUGUUCUCCCCGUGCCUCGGGGGUUUCCGGGUACUCCAGUUUCCUCCCCCGGUCCAAACGACAUGCAUGGUAGGUUUAUUGGCAUCUCUCGAAAAAUUGUCCGUAGUGUGCGAGUGUGUGAGUGAAAGAGAAUGUGUGUGUGAAUGAGACUGUGAUGGGUUGGCACUCCGUCCAGGGGGUAUCCUGCCUUGAUGCCCGAUGACGCCUGAAAUAGCACAGGCUCCUCGUGACCCAAGAAAUUGGGAUAAGUGGUAGAAAAUGAAUGAAUGAAUAUAUUAUUCAAUAUGAUCUAAAGUUUUUUGCUAUGGUUUUUGCUAUAAAUAGUCAUUGUGUAGUGGUGUGACGAAACACAGCAGAUGUCGCUGUGGCUAAACAGACAAAAAACAUCGAAAAGAAUAAAAGAAUUGUAUAUUUUCCACAAUACAUCUUUUUAAUUGCCAGAAGUAAUAUGUUGAAGAAGGAGCUAAUUUUCCUCAAUGUGUCUAAAGUCUCACUAGCUAAUUGUGUUUAUCACACAUUAAGUAUUAUUCUUGGAUCGUGAUGUUAGUAGCUGUAUAACACAGCAGACCAGAUAUAUGCCUAUUCAAGUCAAAAUGUUGAUGCUCUUGUGCAGCAGUCAGGAAUAAAAACUAAAGACAAACAUAUUUUGUUCAGCAAUGUCUGCAUCUAAUUUAAGGUAUAAUAGUACGAAACAUAAAGUGAAAUAGAAAUGCUUGUUCAACAGUGACACUUUGUAUUAAUUACAGUGCGCCGAAGAUAAGAAAUGUGACAAGAACCAAAAUCUAAUUUGGAUUAAUAUUUACAAAGAUCAGACUCGUGCACAAAUGUUAUGGACAUUAGGUUGCUUUAUCUUUUGCUUUUGUUUGGAGAGAUUAAUACUUUUGAUUUAUUUGUUAUUCUUUCAUUCAGAAGUCAAGAGAACUGUAUUGGAAAUUGUGUUGAUGGCACUGGCUCAAAUAAAUCCUCUGCUCCUGUUA